GCUGAAGAGUGUUUCUCUUAGAGACCGUACAAUCAAGAGACCUGUUGUUGCUUCUCAGUUAAAUAUCACACCUAGCAUUUCUGUUUCCUGACCGAGGGUUUUUUUUUAUCAGUCUGAUGGUUCCCAGGUUUGAUACACUGCAUCUGAGGAAGAACCAGAUACUGGACUUGACAGAGGUCUACAAACCCUGCAUGACAAGUGCUUUCUCCGUGCUACGAUGGCGAGAACAGAGGUGCCAGAUCAGUUUCCAUGACUCCCCUGCAGAAUGCCAGCGAUGAGCUGCAGUGAACAUGACAGUGUGGUGGGUUUGGUCUGUUAUUAUUGUGACUUCCUGUGGCUAACCACCAUGCUGCGGGUGUGCACACACACACACACACACACACACAAACCAUCAGACACCUGAGAUGUUCUCGGAGUCCUGACGACUGAUAUAACAAAACCUGACAAAGCUUUUUCCUUUGAAAGUGUCCAUGGGAGAAUGUUUAAGCAGGCAGAACGCUAA
This is a long non-coding RNA of Cyprinus carpio carpio, 502 nucleotides long. The record is from Ensembl. Lineage: Eukaryota; Metazoa; Chordata; Actinopteri; Cypriniformes; Cyprinidae.